Molecule: ribosomal RNA, 251 nt
Filed under: uncultured bacterium
Lineage: Bacteria
Description: partial 16S ribosomal RNA
Rfam family: Bacterial small subunit ribosomal RNA
Source: RNAcentral
GACGAACGCUGGCGGCGUGCUUAACACAUGCAAGUCGAGCGGUAAGGCCCUUCGGGGUACGACGAGCGGCGAACGGGUGAGUAACACGUGGGUGACCUGCCUCUAGCUCUGGGAUAAGGCCUGGGAAACUGGGUCUAAUACCGGGUAUGACUCCACGGCGCAUGGUUGUAGGGGUGGAAAGCCUUGUGUGGCUAGAGAUGGGCCCGCGGCCUAUCAGCUUGUUGGUGGGGUGAUGGCCUACCAAGGCGACG